This 505-nucleotide ribosomal RNA is filed under the name uncultured bacterium. RNAcentral's name for it is "partial 16S ribosomal RNA". It matches the Rfam family "Bacterial small subunit ribosomal RNA", at positions 28 to 507 of the family's 1533-position model. The record is from RNAcentral.
GACGAACGCUGGCGGCGUGCCUAAUACAUGCAAGUAGAACGCACAGUUUAUACCGUAGCUUGCUACACCAUAGACUGUGAGUUGCGAACGGGUGAGUAACGCGUAGGUAACCUGCCUGGUAGCGGGGGAUAACUAUUGGAAACGAUAGCUAAUACCGCAUAAUAUUGAUUAUUGCAUGAUAAUUAAUUGAAAGGUGCAAUUGCACCACUACCAGAUGGACCUGCGUUGUAUUAGCUAGUAGGUGAGGUAACGGCUCACCUAGGCGACGAUACAUAGCCGACCUGAGAGGGUGAUCGGCCACACUGGGACUGAGACACGUCCCAGACUCCUACGGGAGGCAGCAGUAGGGAAUCUUCGGCAAUGGACGAAAGUCUGACCGAGCAACGCCGCGUGAGUGAAGAAGGUUUUCGGAUCGUAAAGCUCUGUUGUAAGAGAAGAACGGGUGUGAGAGUGGAAAGUUCACACUGUGACGGUAUCUUACCAGAAAGGGACGGCUAACUACGUG